UGGGGAAUUUUGGACAAUGGGCGAAAGCCUGAUCCAGCAAUGCCGCGUGUGUGAAGAAGGCCUUCGGGUUGUAAAGCACUUUUGUCCGGAAAGAAAUCCUUGGCUCUAAUACAGUCGGGGGAUGACGGUACCGGAAGAAUAAGCACCGGCUAACUACGUGCCAGCAGCCGCGGUAAUACGUAGGGUGCAAGCGUUAAUCGGAAUUACUGGGCGUAAAGCGUGCGCAGGCGGUUUGCUAAGACCGAUGUGAAAUCCCCGGGCUCAACCUGGGAACUGCAUUGGUGACUGGCAGGCUAGAGUAUGGCAGAGGGGGGUAGAAUUCCACGUGUAGCAGUGAAAUGCGUAGAGAUGUGGAGGAAUACCGAUGGCGAAGGCAGCCCCCUGGGCCAAUACUGACGCUCAUGCACGAAAGCGUGGGGAGCAAACAGGAUUAGAUACCCUGGUAGUCCACGCCCUAAACGAUGUCAACUAGUUGUUGGGAUUCAUUCCUUAGUAACGUAGCUAACGCGUGAAGUUGACCGCCUGGGGAGUACGGUCGCAAGAUU
Molecule: ribosomal RNA, 545 nt
Filed under: uncultured bacterium
Lineage: Bacteria
Description: partial 16S ribosomal RNA
Rfam family: Bacterial small subunit ribosomal RNA
Source: RNAcentral